This 254-nucleotide ribosomal RNA is filed under the name uncultured bacterium. RNAcentral describes it as "partial 16S ribosomal RNA". It matches the Rfam family "Bacterial small subunit ribosomal RNA", at positions 524 to 776 of the family's 1533-position model. The record is from RNAcentral.
UACGGGGGGAGCAAGCGUUGUUCGGAUUUACUGGGCGUAAAGGGCGCGUAGGCGGCCACCGCAAGUCGGUUGUGAAAUCUCCGGGCUUAACCCGGAAAGGUCAAUCGAUACUGCGGGGCUAGAGUGCAGAAGGGGCAACUGGAAUUCUCGGUGUAGCGGUGAAAUGCGUAGAUAUCGGGAGGAACACCUGCGGCGAAGGCGGGUUGCUGGGCUGACACUGACGCUGAAGCGCGAAAGCUAGGGGAGCGAACGGG